This 1257-nucleotide long non-coding RNA is filed under the name Gossypium barbadense (sea-island cotton). Its description in RNAcentral is "long non-coding RNA (GBAR_LNC003027)". Lineage: Eukaryota; Viridiplantae; Streptophyta; Magnoliopsida; Malvales; Malvaceae. The record is from RNAcentral.
UCGCAGCUCCAAUUGCAAUCCUCUUCCUCGUAUUCCAGUCUAGAGCUGGUUUUCCUGCCAAACCCAACUCAUUUACAAGGUAUGCUAAAUUACAGUCAAGAAAUCAUUUUCAAAUUUAAUACUACAUUAUGCUUAAGAAUUGUUUGGAUUUUUGGCGAGGGGACAAUAUAGUAGCUUGUAAUGUCCAGUCUUAGACUAUAACUUAUUCUACUAAUCCGUUGUAGUCUGUAAACCAAUAACUAUAGUAGCCAUAACACCUGAAAAAGCUAACUUGGUAAACAUUUGUAAAAAAUAGGAAUUAGAUGAUGCAGAUAAUGGGUCCUCCCUCUCGGUAUUUAUCAUUUCAUAUUCAGCCCCACUGAAAAGAAAUGAAAUACAGUAGUAGCUUAUGAAGGAGGAUUGUAAAAAUGAAUUCCUACAAGAGUUAGGAAAACAUACAAUGAAGACUAUUGUCAGCUAGAAACUAUUUUGAACAGUAAUUUAUUAUUAUUAAAAAAAGGAAUAAUUACUCCAAACAUGAACGGGAUCCACAGACUGGGUCAUAAUAAUCAGAUUGUGCAGCUAUUUGACAAACAAAAUAGGUAAUCAAAUUGUCCAGCAUGAGAAUUGAAUGAAAGAAGUUUUAGCAAAGUAAAGCUAGGACCAACCUCUGAGCCUGGAUGCCACACUGCCAUUAGACAUGUAAGGGUAAACAAGAAGUCUCUCAUUAGAAGUAGCACAAUAUCCAAUUAAACGAAGCAGAUUGCGGUGAACUGCCAAGCUGAUCAUCUCCAACUCAGUCCUGAAUUGUGAUUCCCCAAAACUUCCCGUCAAGUCUUUUAGCCGCUUCACUGCCACAAGAGUAUCAUCUCCUAACUUUCCCUUGUAGACAUUGCCAAAACCUCCGGUGCCUAGAAUGUUCUUGGAGCUGAAGUUAUCUGUAGCAAGCUGGAGUUCCCUGAAAGUGAAGUUUCUCAGGUUACCUAGGCUUAUGAGGCCUUCUUCUUGUUUGUCUGCAAUAUACGUGUGACAACAUUAAAUCGUAUUAAAUAAACAUAUAAAAGAAAACUUUCGACAUUUAGUUAGUUGUUGUCACCAACCACUAAUAUUCAGAAUCGUUAGCCUUUUUCGUUUGUUUCUGUGCCAAAGUAGGGCAAAUGAGAGGAGUAUGAGAGUGGCAAAACUGAGGCUGAUUCCAAGUGCAAUAGCUAACUUGUUGGAUUUUUGUUCCCCUGAUUGAUGAGGCAAAAAAAGAAACAUACAUAAACAAUUAAUAAG